This 166-nucleotide non-coding RNA is filed under the name Clostridium estertheticum. RNAcentral describes it as "T-box sequence". It matches the Rfam family "T-box leader". Rfam says of the family: Uncharged tRNA acts as the effector for transcription antitermination of genes in the T-box leader family. Lineage: Bacteria; Bacillati; Bacillota; Clostridia; Eubacteriales; Clostridiaceae. The record is from RNAcentral.
UAUUUCACUAUGAUAAAGAAGAGUAGUAGUAAUACUUUAUAAGAGAGAUUGUGGCUAGUGUAAACAAUCAAAGUAUUAUUGUGAAAGGAACUUUUGAGUGUAUAAAACUUAGAGUAGGGCAUGUGCCAAUAAGGGUGGAACCGCGGAAGUAAAUUUCGUCCCUUAC